RNAcentral lists this ribosomal RNA (497 nucleotides) under uncultured bacterium. RNAcentral describes it as "partial 16S ribosomal RNA". It matches the Rfam family "Bacterial small subunit ribosomal RNA", at positions 28 to 507 of the family's 1533-position model. The record is from RNAcentral.
GAUGAACGCUGGCGGCGUGCCUAAUACAUGCAAGUCGAGCGAACGGACGAGAAGCUUGCUUCUCUGAUGUUAGCGGCGGACGGGUGAGUAACACGCGGAUAACCUACCUAUAAGACUGGGAUAACUUCGGGAAACCGGAGCUAAUACCGGAUAAUAUUUUGAACCGCAUGGUUCAAAAGUGAAAGACGGUCUUGCUGUCACUUAUAGAUGGAUCCGCGCUGCAUUAGCUAGUUGGUAAGGUAACGGCUUACCAAGGCAACGAUGCAUAGCCGACCUGAGAGGGUGAUCGGCCACACUGGAACUGAGACACGGUCCAGACUCCUACGGGAGGCAGCAGUAGGGAAUCUUCCGCAAUGGGCGAAAGCCUGACGGAGCAACGCCGCGUGAGUGAUGAAGGUCUUCGGAUCGUAAAACUCUGUUAUUAGGGAAGAACAUAUGUGUAAGUAACUGUGCACAUCUUGACGGUACCUAAUCAGAAAGCCACUGCUAACUACGUG